UUUCGCCUACGGGAGGCAGCAGUGGGGAAUAUUGGGCAAUGGGCGCAAGCCUGACCCAGCAACGCCGCGUGAAGGAUGAAGGUUUUCGGAUUGUAAACUUCUGUCGCGAGGGACGAAGAAUGACGGUACCUCGUAAGAAAGCCCCGGCUAACUACGUGCCAGCAGCCGCGGUAAUACGUAGGGGGCGAGCGUUGUCCGGAAUUACUGGGUGUAAAGGGAGCGUAGGCGGGGAUGCAAGUUGGGUGUCAAAACUACCGGCUCAACUGGUAGUCGCACUCAAAACUGCAGCUCUUGAGUGAAGUAGA
Molecule: ribosomal RNA, 305 nt
Filed under: uncultured bacterium
Lineage: Bacteria
Description: bacterial SSU rRNA
Rfam family: Bacterial small subunit ribosomal RNA
Source: RNAcentral